RNAcentral lists this ribosomal RNA (253 nucleotides) under uncultured bacterium. RNAcentral's name for it is "partial 16S ribosomal RNA". It matches the Rfam family "Bacterial small subunit ribosomal RNA", at positions 524 to 776 of the family's 1533-position model. The record is from RNAcentral.
GACGAACCGUCCAAACGUUAUUCGGAAUCACUGGGCUUAAAGGGUGCGUAGGCGGCGCGGCAAGUUGGGUGUGAAAUCCCUCGGCUCAACCGAGGAACUGCGCCCAAAACUGCCGUGCUCGAGGGAGAUAGAGGUGAGCGGAACUUAGGGUGGAGCGGUGAAAUGCGUUGAUAUCCUAAGGAACACCGGUGGCGAAAGCGGCUCACUGGAUCUCUUCUGACGCUGAGGCACGAAAGCGAGGGUAGCGAACGGG